GUCUUGCUCUGUCACCCAGGCUGGAGUGCAGUGGUGGGAUCUAGGCUCAUUGCAACCUCUGCUCACUGCAAUCUCUGCCUCCCGGGUUCAAGUGAUUCUCCUGCCUCAGCCUCCUGAGUAGCUGGGAUUACAGGCACACACCACCACACUUGGCUAAUUUUUGUAUUUUUAGUAGAGACGGGAGAUGGGGUUUCACCAUGUUGGUCAGGCUGGUCUCGAACUCCUGACCUCAUGAUCUGCCUGCCUUGGCCUCCCAGAGUGCUGGGAUUACAGGUGUGAGCCACUGUGCCCGGCCCUAUAUUUGUAAUUUCUUUUCAUUACUGGCAGACUUUCCCCUCAUUUACCUGCAUUGCCUUUAAAUUUCCUUAGUCCAUUUCUCCGCAGCUUUGUAUAGUAACAGUCUGGUCUCUGUACAUGCUCUUCAAAAAUUUCAUCUAUUUAAACUCAUUUUCUUUGUAGGAGGUAAAUGAAUUCUUUUCAAGGCAAUCAACCCCAUAUUUAUUCUGUGAAAAUCCUGGAAAUUCUGGCCAUUUUUAUCAACAUUCUUCCUCAUUUGCUAUGUGUUAGUCUCCAGUGGGGUUUCCAGGUGAACAAGUCCCUAAGGAGCUCAAUCAAGUGGGGAAAGAGUCACACAUAUCAACGUUUCACAGCUAAAAUGAUUUGGUGACAGUGAAUACAAUGUGGAGCACAGAGAACAGAGUGACAAAUAACGGCAUUUUCUGAGACAGGUCUCACUGUUGCCCAAGCUGGAUUGCAAUGGCAUCAUCCUAGUUCCCUGCAGCCUGGAACUCCUGAGCUAAAGCAAUCCAUCCGCCUUAGCCUCCUGAGUAGCUGGAACUACAGGCAUGUGCCACCACGCCUCAUUUUUGUAUUUAGGUUGGGCAUUUUAAAAUCUGUCAUCUGUUUUCAACAGUAUUUCUGCAAACUGUGUGUUUAUGUCUACCUAUUUUUAUUUGCUGUUUUUCUGUAUUGAUUUAUGAAAAGUUAUAUAUUAAAAACUUUAUAUAUUGUAUAUAAACAUGUUUUGCAAGCUUUUUUUAGUUUGUCUUUUGACUU
This 1056-nucleotide long non-coding RNA is filed under the name Homo sapiens (human). RNAcentral describes it as "HSALNT0062333". Lineage: Eukaryota; Metazoa; Chordata; Mammalia; Primates; Hominidae. The record is from RNAcentral.